UGGGGAAUAUUGCACAAUGGACGGAAGUUUGCUGCAGCGACGCCGCGUGGAGGGUGUAGGCCUUCGGGUUGUGAACUCCUUUUUCUCGCGAAAAAGGCACAGUUUUGGCUGUGUUGAUGGUAGUGGGGGAAGAAGCGCCGGCUAACUACGUGCCAGCAGCCGCGGUAAUACGUAGGGCGCGAGCGUUGUCCGGAUUUAUUGGGCGUAAAGAGCUCGUAGGUGGUUCGUCGCGUCUGUCGUGAAAGCCAGCAGCUUAACUGUUUGUCUGCGGUGGGUACGGGCGGGCUUGAGUGCGGUAGGGGUGACUGGAAUUCCUGGUGUAGCGGUGGAAUGCGCAGAUAUCAGGAGGAACACCGAUGGCGAAGGCAGGUCACUGGGCCGUUACUGACACUGAGGAGCGAAAGCGUGGGGAGCGAACAGG
RNAcentral lists this ribosomal RNA (421 nucleotides) under Fusobacteriota bacterium. Its description in RNAcentral is "Fusobacteria bacterium partial 16S ribosomal RNA". It matches the Rfam family "Bacterial small subunit ribosomal RNA", at positions 355 to 776 of the family's 1533-position model. Lineage: Bacteria; Fusobacteriati; Fusobacteriota. The record is from RNAcentral.